RNAcentral lists this ribosomal RNA (279 nucleotides) under uncultured bacterium. Its description in RNAcentral is "partial 16S ribosomal RNA". It matches the Rfam family "Bacterial small subunit ribosomal RNA", at positions 506 to 784 of the family's 1533-position model. The record is from RNAcentral.
UGCCAGCCGCCGCGGUAAUACGUAAGUCGCAAGCGUUAAUCAGUAUUACUGGGCGUAAAGCGCGCGUAGGUGGAUUGGUCAGUCAGAUGUGAAAGCCCCGGGCUCAACCCCGGAAGUGCACUUGAAACAGCAAGACUUGAAUACGGUAGAGGAGAGAGGAAUUCCUGGUGUAGAGGUGAAAUUCGUAGAUAUCAGGAGGAACACCGAUGGCGAAGGCAUCUCUCUGGGCCGAUAUUGACGCUGAGGCGCGAAGGCGUGGGUAGCGAACGGGAUUAGAUA